CCAAUAGCGUAUAUUAAAGUUGUUGCAGUUAAAAAGCUCGUAGUUGAAUUUCGGGGUUCUACCGUUGGUCGGGCAAUAGUCUGUACUGGCGCGUGGAAUUUCUACCUUCUGGGGAACCAUCAUGUUAUUUAUUUAGCGUGGUGGGAAACCAGGACCUUUACCUGGAAAAAAUUAGAGUGUUCAAAGCAGGCUUACGUCUGAAUACAUUAGCAUGGAAUAAUAAAAUAGGACGGUGGUCCUGUUUUGUUGGUUUCUGAAUCACCGUAAUGAUUAAUAGGGAUAGUUGGGGGCAUUAGUAUUCAAUUGUCAGAGGUGAAAUUCUUGGAUUUAUUGAAGACUAACUUCUGCGAAAGCAUUUGCCAAGGAUGUUUUCAUUAAUCAAGAACGAAAGUUAGGGGAUCGAAGACGAUCAGAUACCGUCGUAGUCUUAACCAUAAACUAUGCCGACUAGGGAUCGGACGAUGUUAAUUUUUCUUGACUCGUUCGGCGCCUUACG
This 496-nucleotide ribosomal RNA is filed under the name uncultured Glomeromycotina. Its description in RNAcentral is "partial small subunit ribosomal RNA". It matches the Rfam family "Eukaryotic small subunit ribosomal RNA", at positions 591 to 1092 of the family's 1831-position model. Lineage: Eukaryota; Fungi; Glomeromycota. The record is from RNAcentral.